RNAcentral lists this ribosomal RNA (460 nucleotides) under uncultured bacterium. RNAcentral describes it as "partial 16S ribosomal RNA". It matches the Rfam family "Bacterial small subunit ribosomal RNA", at positions 338 to 795 of the family's 1533-position model. The record is from RNAcentral.
CCUACGGGUGGCAGCAGUGAGGAAUAUUGGUCAAUGGACGAGAGUCUGAACCAGCCAAGUAGCGUGAAGGAUGACUGCCCUAUGGGUUGUAAACUUCUUUUAUAUGGGAAUAAAAUGUUCCACGUGUGGGAUUUUGUAUGUACCAUAUGAAUAAGGAUCGGCUAACUCCGUGCCAGCAGCCGCGGUAAUAUGGAGGAUCCGAGCGGUAUCCGGAUUUAUUGGGUUUAAAGGGAGCGUAGGUGGAUUGUUAAGUCAGUUGUGAAAGUUUGCGGCUCAACCGUAAAAUUGCAGUUGAAACUGGCAGUCUUGAGUACAGUAGAGGUGGGCGGAAUUCGUGGUGUAGCGGUGAAAUGCUUAGAUAUCACGAAGAACUCCGAUUGCGAAGGCAGUUCACUGGACUGCAACUGACACUGAGGCUCGAAAGUGUGGGUAUCAAACAGGAUUAGAUACCCUAGUAGUC